AACCUGCUAUUUGUUAUUUCUUUUUAAAACACAAACAAACUGAAUUUUCAUUUUGUUUACAGGACAGUGGAACAGGAGAUAACAGCUGCAUUGAAGAAAUAUUGCGGGAGAUGACCCAUUCAUGGCCUCCACCACUGUCAGCUAUUCACACACCAGGGAAGGCAGAGCAAAGCAAGUUUCCCUUUCCAAACAAGGAGUCACAACAGGGAUCUACAGGACACAGCAAUACAAG
Molecule: non-coding RNA, 232 nt
Organism: Meleagris gallopavo (turkey)
Lineage: Eukaryota; Metazoa; Chordata; Aves; Galliformes; Phasianidae
Source: RefSeq, a predicted model, not a curated record